UACGUAGGGGGCAAGCGUUGUCCGGAUUUACUGGGUGUAAAGGGCGUGUAGGCGGAGCUGCAAGUCAGAUGUGAAAUCCCGGGGCUCAACCCCGGAACUGCAUUUGAAACUGUAGCCCCUGAGUAUCGGAGAGGCAGGCGGAAUUCCUAGUGUAGCGGUGAAAUGCGUAGAUAUUAGGAGGAACACCAGUGGCGAAGGCGGCCUGCUGGACGACAACUGACGCUGAGGCGCGAAAGCGUGGGGAGCAAACAGG
This 253-nucleotide ribosomal RNA is filed under the name uncultured bacterium. RNAcentral describes it as "partial 16S ribosomal RNA". It matches the Rfam family "Bacterial small subunit ribosomal RNA", at positions 524 to 776 of the family's 1533-position model. The record is from RNAcentral.